GCGCUCCCGUAACGCAGAGGAGCGGCUGAGCGGUGCGGCGUGCGGUUAAGGCGAGAGCGGAGUUGGCCGCGCAGCGCCCAACACGAGUAGAAAACCGAGGCCGUCGGGCUCAUGCGGAUCCAUGAGGGAGGACUUCUGUUUCACAAGGUUUCACCGCCUCUCGCAUUUUUGUGCUCAGCCAGGGCUGCAUCCAAGCAAGGGCUGCCCGGAUUUUAAACACGGGAGGCUGCAGCGUGGAUCUGGAUGUGCGGACCUCCUCACAGUGAGCGUUCCCGUUGGGUAUUGUCUCACAGGACAGGCAUGGAUUUAUAGUGCUCCAAGCCCAUUAUUUCCCUUCUUCCUAUUUGCUCUUAAGAUGAAGCAGCAGCCUUCCCAUAACACCAGGCUUUGUUCGUAUUAACAACUAAGCAAAGAUGAAAACAGCAUCGGUAUGAAAUAAAACUAUAUAUAAGCUUUUAUAUUAUAUAUAAGGCACAAUAGUGACUGGGUAACAUACUGAUAUCUGCACAGGUCUACAUAAAAAACAUGAAUAGUGAGGGCAAACAGUAACUCUUAUUCCAUGCAAGUGCUAGUUAAGCCUUUAUCUUGGGAUUUGUGGAAAGUAAAGUAUGGGCUAGCAAGAAGCAGUUCCUACCAGUCCUGAUAGCAGGCUUACCGAUAGACAUACACUAUCAGAACGCUCUAAAUUCCAUAAGGAUGCUUGCCACAGACUACCUCAGUUCACCGCUCUGUUUUCCAAGCCAAGACCACUGCAGCCCAGCUCUGAAGUUCAACGCAUGAGCCAUUUCAGAUCAACAGCACAGACUCUGGGAGACGUGGGCACUAGCAUCCCCUCUUCUCUAUUGAAUAGCUGCUCCAGUUUUAGAUCAGGCACGGAGAAGCUGCCAGUCUCUCAAAGCAACACCCCGAUUUCAUUUUGCUUAGUCAUCUACUGGUAGGACCUGGCAUUGUGCACCACAUGCAGAAAGCCAGACAUCUGCGAGCCAGGGCAGAGCAAAGGACAGUUCUGUGCUGAGCCUUAAAUCUCAGAUAUCCAUAGCAAACAGGAAAAGCAAUCCAAACCAGAAUAAGCAAAUAGCUGUAAAGCUUUGGAGGAGUGCCGAAGUGGUGCUUCUUUACGUUAAUGAGUCUGCAAAUGAUUUUCCAGCAGUAACUGUUCAUGGCUCUAUAUUCCUGCUGACCCUAAACAUUCAAUAGGAGGUGAUACCCGAG
This is a long non-coding RNA of Gallus gallus (chicken), 1212 nucleotides long. NCBI's taxonomy places the organism in Eukaryota, Metazoa, Chordata, Aves, Galliformes, Phasianidae. The record is from Ensembl.